This 271-nucleotide long non-coding RNA is filed under the name Brassica napus (rape). RNAcentral describes it as "long non-coding RNA (BNAP_LNC014073)". The record is from RNAcentral. Lineage: Eukaryota; Viridiplantae; Streptophyta; Magnoliopsida; Brassicales; Brassicaceae.
GAUUGUGAAAAAUUACUUGAUUUAGUGCCAAGUUGUAUAACCUGUCGAUCACUGACGCGUGUCUAUAUCUGUUUUUUAUAAAGCUAAACCGGUGCUGACGAAUAACCAGCCCGUAUAAUUAUUUUCUUACAAAUUUAAAAUUUUAUUUUAUAGAGAAUUAGGAUAUUAUAUUAAAACUGGAUGAAAAUAAAAUUAAGCCGUCUCUCUUUUCCUUUGCAGCUGCUCGGUUUCCAUGUGUUUUCAACAUUGCAAAUCAUAGUUGUCAAGAAAA